This 1723-nucleotide long non-coding RNA is filed under the name Bos indicus x Bos taurus (hybrid cattle). RNAcentral describes it as "lncRNA (ENSBIXG00005020295.1)". Lineage: Eukaryota; Metazoa; Chordata; Mammalia; Artiodactyla; Bovidae. The record is from RNAcentral.
GGCAGCGGGGGCCGCUGUCCAUGGUGUUGAAACAGAGCCCCAAACCCCAGUCUCAUCUUGCCCGGCCUCGCCUCUGGACUUUUUUCACCCCACUCCCAUCUUCUCCCUAGAAGGGUUGGGGCAUACUUCUGCCCUCCUCCUUUGAUUUCCUGGAUGAGAAGUGGUCGGAUCUGACUUCCAGCUCCCUGCAGCUUGUCUGCAUUCUAUGGGGGAGGGCUCCUCAGGUUUAUGGAUCCAAAAUCUUCCUUCAGAUUCCCCUUUGUACCAGACUGGCUCCACCCAGAGCCAAGAGAGGAUCACCAGCCUUCUGAGGCCUGCUCUUUUCUCUGGCUGAGCACUUCCAUUCUGACUCCCCUCAGAUCUCUCCCCAGGCAGGUAAGGUGGGGGUGUGUGCCCCAUGCCUUGGAUCAGAUCAGCUUUCUGUGCAACCCCAAAACAGCCUACAGUAUUUGCUCUUGGGAUCCCGAGCACCCACCCACGGAGCCUAAGGCUCACCCCUUCUUCCAUUCCCAGGUACCCGUGGCCCCCAGCUCUGGCCCGCAGGAGGAAGGGUCGCCUUGGGCAAGGGGUGGGUGCUGGAUGAGAAAAGACUUCCUGCCCUGCCCGUCCUCCUGCGUCAGCCUGGUGGGGACCUUCUUGGUGGCCCUGAAGCCCCUGAAGGUUCUGUAGAAGUCAACUCACGGCUGCUAGACCCCCGCUGGGUCCUUUUGGCUCCUCAGGUGCCGGCCGGCCUCACCGCACCCCAGCCCAGCCAUACCCGAACCGUCUCUGCGCCGCUGCCCACGCUGCCGCUUCCGCCCAGCACACCGAGAAUUUGGGUUUGUGGAUUCGUUUAUUUGCCAGCUCCACGGAUCGGGGCAGGGGCUCCUGGCUCCCAGCGGAGGGCGCGAGGAGAUGCGUGGCCGAUUGCUCAGUGCUCCGGGUUCCGAGCUACUGCCUCCAUGCGCACAAAAGCAACUUGGAGGCCCCAGGUGUUCCAAGGGCACCUAGUUUCCACCAGGACUGGGUGAGGAGCAAGGAGAAAGCAGAUGACCAAAAUUGGGCCUAUGGGGAGUCCCAGAAUGUGGCCCAUCAGAGGUCUGGCAGCCUCAGGACAGGAGCCUCUGGGGCUGGAAGCCUGACAGCCAAGGCGCAGAAAAUUGGUCAGCCCCCUGGCUGCAGCAGGACAGCAAAUGGGGGAGCGACAGAGUACCCAGCUCAGGUAGGGCUCAGGUUGGGGCCCAGGGAGGGCUCAGGUAGAGCAUUCGUGGAGGCUGUGCCUGUUUUCUCUUUGAACUGGGCACAGGAAGGCUUAUCUGACCACACUGGCAGGGUCUGUGAGUUUCUCUUGCUGAGAGAACUGAAGCUAAGAUGCUGCAGUGACCCCUGGGGCCUGUGGCUGGUCAGGGAGCUCAGCACACAGGCCCAUAUGCCCAAGCAUCCUCUCCCGGGUGUGGUUGGUCCUGAGUGCCCAGAGACCUUUUCCUCCAUCUCGGUGGCAGGCAAGCUGGUAUGUGGCUUCCCCUCCACCUGUCUCCUCUGGAUGCCACCUGCAUCCUUGAGCUGCCCUUUAGUCAGUGUGGGUGGGUUCCUGCCCACCUCCAUGCCAGGCACCCACCUCCACCCUGGCCCAGGUUGGAGGUUGGGCAGGAUGGGGAGAAGCAGAGUGUGCAGGCUGGUGGUGGGUCAACCCAGUGCUCAGAGCCCACGGGGCAGUGAGCAGGACUCAGCACCAUGCGCUUGA